UACGGAGGGUGCAAACGUUGUCCGGAAUCACUGGGCGUAAAGCGCAUGUAGGUGGCUAUAUAAGUGGACGAUUAAAGACCGAUGCUUAACAUCGGACCGGUUGUCUAUACUGUGUGGCUUGAGAGUAACAGGGGUAAGCGGAACUUUAGGUGUAGGAGUGAAAUCCGUAGAUAUCUAAAGGAACACCAAUGGCGAAGGCAGCUUACUGGGUUAUUUCUGACACUGAGAUGCGAAAGCGUGGGGAGCAAACGGG
RNAcentral lists this ribosomal RNA (253 nucleotides) under uncultured prokaryote. Its description in RNAcentral is "partial 16S ribosomal RNA". It matches the Rfam family "Bacterial small subunit ribosomal RNA", at positions 524 to 776 of the family's 1533-position model. The record is from RNAcentral.